UAGUGGUAUAGAAAUGCACCUAAUUCCACACAGGUGGUUGUCAGGUGAGAAGUUCCGGUUGUUAAGGUGGGCGUGGUAUAUAAGGAGCUGCGGCGUUCAUUCAGGAUGUGUCGUCUUUGCUCUUCCACUGUGUGGCUUGCAUCCUGUGGACUCUGGCAGCGGAAAGUAACAAAAUCUCUGGCUGGCUGGUGCGUGCUACACUAAGAUCCUGGUGGUAGGUGUUCUCUCUCCCUGCACUUCAGCUGAUCUUGGCCAGAAAAUCUAAAUUGAAUUGUGAUUAUAGGUAAAGCGCCACUGCGCUCCGCUCCUUCUCUUCCUCCUUCUGCGAGUGUGUGUGUGCGUGUUUGGAUCGGCAGGUCCCCCCACAGUUGGACCAUUGCUGCUCUGUUCUGCUCGGAUCUACUCUGCUUUGCUCUGUUCUGCUCGGAUCUACUCUGCUUUGCUCUGUCUGCGUUCGUUUCCCGGAUCUGUCAGUCGGCGUUCGUUUUCCUGGACUUCCAUCUCAGUCGUUUUUAAAGUUGGACUGCGGCGGUAUUAUCCGCCUCCAUCCAUGUUUGGGGUGUGGCAUCGGCGCACCCCUUUCACCUCCUGUUGUGGCAUGACAAGCGGGCCACGCAUGGUCCUGAUGUUUUAACUUGCAUUGGCUAUUGUUAAUUUCUAUUACUUUACUUAUUUUGCUUACGGCCCUUUUUGUCUUUUAUUUAGUUGGGCUGAUAUUGUUUUUUUUCUAAUUAGGUUUAAGAUUGUUAUCUUGGUUAACUGUUUUUCUUUUGUUGUUUUGCAGUUGCUGAGGUCCGGUGGYGGUGUUGGUGUGGUGACGGUGUCUUCCUCUUCUGCGUGCUGUGAUUCUUGAGUUUGGGUUGUCUCACUGCGUCUGGUGUGUCAAAGGGUUUUUUUGUUUGUUUGCUGUGUUUGGUGGAUUCCGUCCCUAUAGCGCCCCCUCUGGCCGGUAACUUCAGCUACUGCACUUACUUUGAUUUUCUUUGUUUUCCUUUGUGUCCCAUUCUUAAAGAAACUGGUUUUAAAAAGUGUUUUAAAAAGAGCUUAAUAAAUGGUUGUUUUAUAAAUUUGAAACUGUCUCAGAUGUGCUAAAUUCAUGCAUAACUGAACCUGUGUGCCUUAUACCAAAAGAAAAUAUUCUCUGGGUGAAAUUCCCAGGGUGGCGUUGUUGUGCAACCUAUUAAAACUAAAAGUUCACCAAAUCUGAGUUUCCGUCUAGUAUCGCCACA
Molecule: long non-coding RNA, 1229 nt
Organism: Poecilia reticulata (guppy)
Lineage: Eukaryota; Metazoa; Chordata; Actinopteri; Cyprinodontiformes; Poeciliidae
Source: RefSeq, a predicted model, not a curated record